Molecule: ribosomal RNA, 425 nt
Filed under: uncultured bacterium
Lineage: Bacteria
Description: partial 16S ribosomal RNA
Rfam family: Bacterial small subunit ribosomal RNA
Source: RNAcentral
GUGGGGAAUAUUGGACAAUGGGCGCAAGCCUGAUCCAGCAAUGCCGCGUGGGUGAAGAAGGUCUUCGGAUCGUAAAGCCCUUUCGACAGGGACGAUGAUGACGGUACCUGUAGAAGAAGCCCCGGCUAACUUCGUGCCAGCAGCCGCGGUAAUACGAAGGGGGCUAGCGUUACUCGGAAUUACUGGGCGUAAAGGGCGCGUAGGCGGCUCUGUUAGUCAGGCGUGAAAUUCCUGGGCUUAACCUGGGUACGGCGCUUGAUACUGCAGGGCUUGAGGCCGAGAGAGGGUGGUGGAAUUCCCAGUGUAGAGGUGAAAUUCGUAGAUAUUGGGAAGAACACCGGUGGCGAAGGCGACCACCUGGCUCGGUUCUGACGCUGAGGCGCGACAGCGUGGGGAGCAAACAGGAUUAGAUACCCCGGUAGUCC